Molecule: ribosomal RNA, 501 nt
Filed under: Triticum aestivum (bread wheat)
Lineage: Eukaryota; Viridiplantae; Streptophyta; Magnoliopsida; Poales; Poaceae
Description: partial small subunit ribosomal RNA
Source: RNAcentral
AUGCAGGAUCGCACUUGCAAGGAGCCCCGAAGCAAGCGAGAAAAAGGAAACAGGCCAGCUGCCUGCGUUGUUGCACGUACGUACGGACGUACCCCAUGCAUGCACGCCGUCGUACGUACGGUGGCGAGGCCGGCCAGAGAGCCCUGGAGGAUGCCACUAGGCACUAGGCUUAGGCGGGCAAAGCGCGCUACCGAGCAAGUAGACAAACCAAAACAGCAAGGCGAUCAGGGUCGGUCGGCGAUCCACCCAGGCCCAGGCCAGCAAGCAAGCGAUGGGUGUGUACAGCUGCUGCAUGCCUCUGCCCAAAAGAUGCAAUACGCUGCGUGCAUCCCAAGGAGAUAUGGUCGGUCGUGUACUGUGUACUAUGGUUCGUACCAUUGUUCCAUCACCAUUCGUACCAAGCCCCAGGUCAGGUGGACAGCUGGUCAUCAUGCUCCUAGAUUGGUAGAUCACGGGCAGUUUUACGGCCGAUCCGAUGCUGCACAAUGUGCUAGCAUCUAG